GAUGAACGCUGGCGGCGUGCCUAAUACAUGCAAGUCGAGCGAACAGACGAGGAGCUUGCUCCUCUGACGUUAGCGGCGGACGGGUGAGUAACACGUGGAUAACCUACCUAUAAGACUGGGAUAACUUCGGGAAACCGGAGCUAAUACCGGAUAAUAUAUUGAACCGCAUGGUUCAAUAGUGAAAGACGGUUUUGCUGUCACUUAUAGAUGGAUCCGCGCCGCAUUAGCUAGUUGGUAAGGUAACGGCUUACCAAGGCAACGAUCCGUAGCCGACCUGAGAGGGUGAUCGGCCACACUGGAACUUAGACACGGUCCAGACUCCUACGGGAGGCAGCAGUAGGGAAUCUUCCGCAAUGGGCGAAAGCCUGACCGAGCAACGCCGCGUGAGUGAAGAAGGUCUUCGGAUCGUAAAACUCUGUUAUUAGGGAAGAACAAAUGUGUAAGUAACUAUGCACGUCUUGACGGUACCUAAUCAGAAAGCCACGGCUAACUACGUG
This 497-nucleotide ribosomal RNA is filed under the name uncultured bacterium. RNAcentral describes it as "partial 16S ribosomal RNA". It matches the Rfam family "Bacterial small subunit ribosomal RNA", at positions 28 to 507 of the family's 1533-position model. The record is from RNAcentral.